This 534-nucleotide long non-coding RNA is filed under the name Pan troglodytes (chimpanzee). RNAcentral's name for it is "long non-coding RNA NONPTRT014147". The record is from RNAcentral. Lineage: Eukaryota; Metazoa; Chordata; Mammalia; Primates; Hominidae.
ACAAUUGGGCUCUAGGUAAGUAAUAAUAGGAGAUAGACGUGGCAUCAAGAGGAGAGUUGUGCAUACUUCUGAGUCUAAUUUAGUCCUCUGCAAAACUAUUAACAUGUUAUGUGAUGGUCCCUAAUAUCACUGAGGUUCAGUAAUUCAUUAGAAGUACUCACAACACUCAAAAGUUGUUAUACUCAAGGUUAUGGUUUAUCAUAGCAAAAUUAUACAAAUCAAAAUCUGCAAAGGGAAAGUGCAUAGGGCAAAAUCUGGAUGAAAUCAGGUUCAUAUUCUUUCCUAGUGGAGCAGCAUAGGACCCAUUUAAUUUUUCCAGCAAACAGUGUGACAAAAUGCUUUAAGUGUUGUCUCUAAGGAAAUAUCAUUAGAGAAUCAGUAUUCAAGGUUUGCACAGAAGCUGUUGCUGUACGCAUCCUCUGUCUUGUGGUCAGCCUACAGAGCAGGAUAGAUCAGCACCCAAAAUUUGGUUUGGAUAAAAAGUGUUAACUGUGAGUGGGUUUUGGGGUUAGGAUUACAGAAGGAAACACAAUU